This 465-nucleotide ribosomal RNA is filed under the name uncultured bacterium. RNAcentral's name for it is "partial 16S ribosomal RNA". It matches the Rfam family "Bacterial small subunit ribosomal RNA", at positions 29 to 507 of the family's 1533-position model. The record is from RNAcentral.
AUGCACGCUGGCGGCGUGCUUAACACCUGCAAGUCGAACGCUGAAGCCCAGCUUGCUGGGUGGAUUAGUGGCGAACGGGUGAGUAACACGUGAGUAACCUGCCCUUAACUCUGGGAUAAGCCUGGGAAACUGGGUCUAAUACCGGAUAGGAGCGUCCACCGCAUGGUGGGUGUUGGAAAGAUUUAUCGGUUUUGGAUGGACUCGCGGCCUAUCAGCUUGUUGGUGAGGUAAUGGCUCACCAAGGCGACGACGGGUAGCCGGCCUGAGAGGGUGACCGGCCACACUGGGACUGAGACACGGCCCAGACUCCUACGGGAGGCAGCAGUGGGGAAUAUUGCACAAUGGGCGAAAGCCUGAUGCAGCGACGCCGCGUGAGGGAUGACGGCCUUCGGGUUGUAAACCUCUUUCAGUAGGGAAGAAGCGAAAGUGACGGUACCUGCAGAAGAAGCACCGGCUAACUACGUG